GACGAACGCUGGCGGCGUGCUUAACACAUGCAAGUCGAACGGAAAGGCCCUGCUUUUGUGGGGUGCUCGAGUGGCGAACGGGUGAGUAACACGUGAGUAACCUGCCCUUGACUUUGGGAUAACUUCAGGAAACUGGGGCUAAUACCGGAUAGGAGCUCCUGCUGCAUGGUGGGGGUUGGAAAGUUUCGGCGGUUGGGGAUGGACUCGCGGCUUAUCAGCUUGUUGGUGGGGUAGUGGCUUACCAAGGCUUUGACGGGUAGCCGGCCUGAGAGGGUGACCGGCCACAUUGGGACUGAGAUACGGCCCAGACUCCUACGGGAGGCAGCAGUGGGGAAGAGUGCACAAUGGGCGGAAGCCUGAUGCAGCAACGCCGCGUGCGGGAUGACGGCCUUCGGGUUGUAAACCGCUUUCGCCUGUGACGAAGCGUGAGUGACGGUAAUGGGUAAAGAAGCACCGGCUAACUACGUG
This 468-nucleotide ribosomal RNA is filed under the name uncultured bacterium. RNAcentral's name for it is "partial 16S ribosomal RNA". It matches the Rfam family "Bacterial small subunit ribosomal RNA", at positions 28 to 507 of the family's 1533-position model. The record is from RNAcentral.